CUUCACCGAGCCCAGCCACAGCGGCCGGUCGGCCGGCCGGUCCUGCCCGUACGUGGCGAUGAGCGCCUGCGCCUC
RNAcentral lists this antisense RNA (75 nucleotides) under Micromonospora echinofusca. RNAcentral's name for it is "ASpks TB sRNA". It matches the Rfam family "ASpks TB sRNA". The record is from Rfam by way of RNAcentral. RNAcentral also lists the same sequence under 1 other name. Lineage: Bacteria; Bacillati; Actinomycetota; Actinomycetes; Micromonosporales; Micromonosporaceae.